This is a long non-coding RNA of Pomacea canaliculata, 1150 nucleotides long. RefSeq lists it as uncharacterized. The transcript is spliced from 3 exons. The record is from RefSeq and is a predicted model, not a curated record. Lineage: Eukaryota; Metazoa; Mollusca; Gastropoda; Architaenioglossa; Ampullariidae.
UUUUGUACACUUGGCUCACGUGAUCACUAAAGGAGAGCCUCCCGUCGAUCACUGUACUAAGGAAAUGAUCAACAACAGCCGAUGUAGACUCUGAGACAUUGGGCGUAAGACGACAAUAUUCUUACCGUUCUGUACAUUUCCUCCGCCUUCACGACAUCGUACUGCCGAGCUGAAAUACAGAAGACAAUUCAUCAUGCACACGCGCGAACAGACGUACAGAUGGAUGCCCUUUAAGAUAGGUCGUGAGUAGGCCUCCACGCCUGGUCCUUCCCCCCGACCACCACCACCACACCACCCGGCGUCGGUGCGCGGUCUUCCUGUGGGAAAUGAGGCAGAGGUAGGACAGCUCGUCACGCUCGGCCUGACGUCAUGGUGAGACUGGCGCGACGCAGUGCUGACUGAAACAACGCGCAUUUCCGGGACCGCGCGUGAAAGACACGAGCAGGAAGUGGAGGAAAAGAUGAUGAAGGAAAAAAGGCGAGGCAAUGGGAGCGUACUUCUUAGUAACCGUCUGCGCGGCUAUCAUCCGGACCUACGAUCCUCCGCUCCUCUGGUCCGCACUCGGACUGCUACAGGAUGCAAGAACUCACGGGCUUCGAAAUGUGAUUGGCUGAGCCCGGGGUCACAAGUUGACCUCAACACACCUCGCUCUUUUGGUCAGACAUGCUUUCGUGACUUCUACUGGUCGUAGAUGCUCUUUUUUGUCAGAGAAACAGUCUCAUGGCAAAUGAAGCUGAAGGGGGUAAAGAGGGACAAGGAUUGAUCAGUGUUUCCCAUCCAUAAAAUUCCACCCCUUCUCAUUACAAAAUGUUUGCAGGUUUUCAGGCCACAGCUAGGACUAGAGUACAGUAUUAGGUUGGGUUUUUCAUUGACCAGUCGCGGAAAAUAUACAUAUAUUAAUAUGAUCGUCAUCAUGAUUACCGAUGUCAAGUAUCAUCUUUAACUGGGUGUGUAAAUAUAGUGUGUCACUGGCAUUCAAUAACAAGUAAUGACGAAAUAUGAGCUUUCGUAAGUUUUCAGAAUGUUUACACAAUAUCUCACGCUAUGAGACCUCCGACGUAUGUUUACAGUCGUGAGACUUCCUAACUAAACUCUUUUAUGUUUUCAGACCCCUGACUCCAAAUCCAACUUCAGUUUAAGAGAAAAAAAU